GACGAACGCUGGCGGCGUGCUUAACACAUGCAAGUCGAACGGAAAGGCCCUGCUUUUGUGGGGUGCUCGAGUGGCGAACGGGUGAGUAACACGUGAGUAACCUGCCCUUGACUUUGGGAUAACUUCAGGAAACUGGGGCUAAUACCGGAUAGGAGCUCCUGCUGCAUGGUGGGGGUUGGAAAGUUUCGGCGGUUGGGGAUGGACUCGCGGCUUAUCAGCUUGUUGGUGGGGUAGUGGCUGACCAAGGCUUUGACGGGUAGCCGGCCUGGGAGGGUGACCGGCGACCAUGGGACUGAGAUACGGCCCAGACUCCUACGGGAGGCAGCAGUGGGGAAUAUUGCACAGUGGGCGGAAGCCUGAUGCAGCGACGCCGCGUGCGGGAUGACGGCCUUCGGGUUGUAAACCGCUUUCGCCUGUGACGAAGCGUGAGUGACGGUAAUGGGUAAAGAAGCACCGGCUAACUACGUG
Molecule: ribosomal RNA, 468 nt
Filed under: uncultured bacterium
Lineage: Bacteria
Description: partial 16S ribosomal RNA
Rfam family: Bacterial small subunit ribosomal RNA
Source: RNAcentral